RNAcentral lists this ribosomal RNA (389 nucleotides) under Embryophyta sp. RNAcentral describes it as "partial small subunit ribosomal RNA". It matches the Rfam family "Eukaryotic small subunit ribosomal RNA", at positions 582 to 975 of the family's 1831-position model. Lineage: Eukaryota; Viridiplantae; Streptophyta. The record is from RNAcentral.
AUUCCAGCUCCAAUAGCGUAUAUUUAAGUUGUUGCAGUUAAAAAGCUCGUAGUUGGAUCUUGGGUCGUAAGGGUCGGUCCGCCUACUCGGUGUGCACCUGCCCUUCCGUCCCUUUUGUCGGCGGCGUGCUCCUGGCCUUAAUUGGCUGGGUCGCGGUUCCGGCGCUGUUACUUUGAAAAAAUUAGAGUGCUCAAAGCAAGCUUAUGCUCUGAAUACAUUAGCAUGGAAUAACGUGAUAGGAGUCUGGUCCUAUUGUGUUGGCCUUCAGGACCGGAGUAAUGAUUAAUAGGGACUGUCGGGGGCAUUCGUAUUUCAUUGUCAGAGGUGAAAUUCUUGGAUUUAUGAAAGACGGACCACUGCGAAAGCAUUUGCCAAGGAUGUUUUCAUUG